GACGAACCGAGCGAACGUUGUUCGGAAUCACUGGGCUUAAAGGGCGCGUAGGCGGGUGCUCAAGUCUGUGGUGAAAUCCUCCAGCUUAACUGGAGAACUGCCAUGGAUACUGGGUGUCUCGAGGAAGAUAGGGGUAUGCGGAACGAUUGGUGGAGCGGUGAAAUGCGUUGAUAUCUAUCGGAACGCCAAAGGUGAAGACAGACCGCUGGGCUUGUUCUGACGCUGAGGCACGAAAGCGUGGGGAGCAAACGGG
This 253-nucleotide ribosomal RNA is filed under the name uncultured bacterium. Its description in RNAcentral is "partial 16S ribosomal RNA". It matches the Rfam family "Bacterial small subunit ribosomal RNA", at positions 524 to 776 of the family's 1533-position model. The record is from RNAcentral.